Molecule: long non-coding RNA, 12451 nt
Filed under: Phaseolus vulgaris (common bean)
Lineage: Eukaryota; Viridiplantae; Streptophyta; Magnoliopsida; Fabales; Fabaceae
Description: long non-coding RNA (PVUL_LNC002818)
Source: RNAcentral
UUUUUUUUUUGUUGUAUUAGAGGAUGUUUUUAUGUAAUGCUCUUUUGAAGUGAUUUAUAUUUUUUUUAUUUGAGGACUAGUUUAGUAGUCUAUAGAGUCUGAAGAAUGUUUGUAAGUCAGGUAUUAAGCAAAGUGUCUGUAUAAAGUUAAGAUACUUCUUAAAUGUCUAAUUUUAUUUUAUUUAUUUUUUGUUGAUAAAAAAACAGUUACAACUUCUAAAUUAUAUUUUACAAUGAUAGAAUGAACUAAGAAAACUGGGUUGUGGUGUUUGUCAACCAAUGUUUAGUAUAGGUUACAUAAUACAUCGAUCCGUAAAAAAAGUAAAAAAAUAAGAACCACUUUAGAGAUGAUCUAAUCUUUUUCAUAACACAAAUCUCCUCUACAUAAUAAGCUUUUAUUUUGUAGAGAUUUUGUUUGACAGAAGAGUGAAACAAGAAGAACCACAAGCAAUGGAUUCUAUGGAUGCUGUUAUUUUCUGUGAUGACCCUUCAAAGAGAAACGUUGAAGAAGAGAGUGAAGAAGAAGUGGUGACAGUGGAGGAACUGGAGAGAAGGAUGUGGAGGGAUCGCAUGAUGUUGAGGAAGCUUAAGGAGGAGAAGAGGGAAAAGGAGAAAGGAGAAACAAUGGAGAUGAUGAAGAAGAAGGCAUUGAUUCGUGCACAAGACACAGUGCUGAAGAACAUGGUGAAGAUGAUGGAGAUUUGUGGUGCUCGUGGCUUCGUCUAUGGCAUCAUUCCUGAGAAGGGAAAACCAGUAAGUGGAGCUUCUGAUAACCUCAGAGCUUGGUGGAAAGAAAGGGUCAAGUUUGAUCAUAAUGGUCCUGCUGCUAUACAAAGGUCAAACUUUUCUUACACUUUCAUAUAUCUUAUUCAUUAAUAUAUGAUUAUAUAGUGAAAAAAAAAAUCUAAUUAAUUUGGAAUUGUUUAACAGUGAUUCUAAAAUCUUUUCUUUAUCUCAAUUAAAAGUAUUAAAAAUUUCGUCUUGGAUUACUUCUUAUUUACUUUAGUUUAUUUUUCUUUUCUGAUUGUUGUCUUCAUCUACGUAUUUGAUGUUUGAUGUCAAUUUAAAGUUUCUGUUAAUUUUUGUUUGAAUGUUUGGUGGCAGUGUUAUGUUUAGGCAUUUUUGUUUGUUGAUUGAUUGAGUUUUUCUUUUGAGUAGUGUAAUUGGUAUGUAUAUGAGUUGGAUUAUCCUUUAAGUGGUUCAUAUUUAUUUUUAUUUUAUAAAAAAAAAUAUUAACUACAUUUUUAAUAUAUUGUUUUAUGUCUUUUAUUUGUGCAUGUUAUCUUUAGGUUAUUACUUUUACUUUAAAGAUUUUUUUGUAUGUGUUUACUAUUAGUAAAAAAUUAGAAAAUUUCUUUGUAAACAUGUUUGUGAAAAAAAAAAUGUUAGAAAUAUUAAAUAUUAUACAAAACAUAUUUUGUUAAAACCUGUGUAAAAAAUUAUUGAUUUCACAUCAAAUUUGAGAAAUUAAUAAUUUUUUUUUAAAUUACAGUAAAUUUUGCAGAACUUUUUUGUACGAAAAUUUACGGGAGGAUUAAAAAUUAAUUAAAAUAUUCCAAGAAAACCCUUAGGAAAAAAAUUGCGAAUUCAAGUUAUUUUGCAGAAGUUUUCUUAUUAAAAAAAGCGAAUUUGAAAAUGCAAAGUAAUUUUUUUUUUGUUCUGAAAAGACAAUAUAGUGAAAUAGGUAGUGACCACAAUGUUCUUAAUGAACUAUAAGAACUGAAAUCAUCAUAAAACCAAAUAUAAAAUUACAAUAUUAACAUAAUAUUAUUGUCAGUAUAAUAAAUAAAAUGGUUAAAAAUGUCUUUAUACUCCUUGCAUUACUGCAAAACUUACAUAUAAAAAUACAUACUCUUUUCAUGAUUUAAAAUUAUUAAUAAUUGAGGAAAAAUAGCUUUAAAGAAAUUUAGGAAUGAAUGGUGAUAUGUUAACACCACAAAUAGGAGAAUAAAUUCAUUUUAUAAACCAAUAAAAUCAUAUUUUAAUCAUAUUUAAUUUAUUUUUUAUUUUAAAUAUUAUUAUAAUAUGGUGUGAAGUAUAUGUUUUUAGUGUGUGGUGUCAAAUAAAUCUUUUUCUUGAAAUGCUACCAGUAUUAACACACUCUUUUAGACUUAUUUUUUCUCAUUGGUUAAAAAUGGUUGAUGCAAAACCCUACAUUGGAAUGUUUAGUUUGGAAAAAUGUUUCAUUAAACUAUGAAUAGUGAAAAAACAUUGACAAACACUUAUAAUAAUAUUUUAAAUUAAAAAAAUAUUAAUUUAUUAAAAUAUGAAAAGUAUAUUUUUAUUGUUGGUGUCAAUACCUUUAGUUUGUCCCUUAUUAUUAGUAAGACUUUGAUUGUAAUUUUUUAAGAAUAUUUUGGAGGGUUUUUAUAAUUUGUAUGAAUUAUUUAAUUUGUCCCUUACUAUUAGUAAGACUUUGAUUGUAUUUUUUUAAGAAUAUUUUGGAGGGUUUUUAUAAUUUGUAUAAGGGUUGAAUUAUUUUUAAAGUGGUUUUCAUUUUUUUGUACUGAUAAGAAAGAAAGAAAAAACAUUACAUUGGAAUAUUUAGUAUUUGUUUAUAAUAUUGAUGUUUGAUGUUUGAUGAACCUGUGUACCAGGUAUGAGGAAGAAAGUGGGUUUGAUGACAUGGUUGGUGAUGCAUUCGAUGGAGAGUCACCAACAACAUACACUCUGAGUGAUCUCCCAGACACAACUCUUGGCUCACUCUUGUCAUCUCUAAUGCAGAACUGUGACCCUCCCCAGAGGAGGUACCCUUUGGACAAGGGCACUGCCCCUCCCUGGUGGCCCACUGGGCAGGAAUGGUGGUGGGCCCAGAUGGGCUUUUCCAUGGACCCAGGCCCACCUCCCUACAAGAAGCCCCAUGACCUCAAGAAGGUGUGGAAGAUCUGUGUGCUCAUUGCAGUCAUCAAACACAUAUCCCCAGACAUAGCAAAGAUCAGAAACAUUGUGCUUCACUCUAGGACCCUUCAGGACAAGCUCACUGCCAAAGAAACUGCCAUUUGGAAUGCCAUUGUGAAGCGUGAAGAGUCCUUCGCUAGGAGAUCAUACCCUCAUUUCUUCCACCAUACCCUCCCACCAAGACCACCACCAAUUGCCUAUGAUAAAAAAUUUACAAAUUUUCUUGGAGGACUCAACAACAAACCACAACCCAACAAUGUUGCUAAUGUUGGAGCAAGAAAUUUCUUUGUGGGCCAGUUCAAUCCACCACCACCAACAAGCAAUGUUGCAAUUGCUAAUGGCAAUAACAAUAACAAUAACAUGCUUACAAUGAUGAACAGAGGCACUGUCAUGCCACUAGACCAUGCUGUUGAAAAGAGAAAGGGUGGAGAUGUUCAAGGUAUUACAUUUCCUCAUCAGGCUUAUUCUUGCCAUAACAUCGAGUGUGGCUUUGGGUUCAGUGACAGGAACACGAGGAACAAUCAUCAGCUGACAUGCCAAUACAGAAGCAGAAAUCCUCUGCAAGUGGUUGGAAGUGACAGGAACAUUGGUGCAUCAGUUACUAAUCAAAAUCAGAGUUUCACUGACAUGGGGUGUGGUGUGAUGAACAACAUGAAUGUUGAGCAGAAGCAAUCCACAGGUGUUGGAAGUAGCAUGAAUGUUGCUCCUCUUGCAGGCCAAAACCAGAAUGUGCAAAGAGUUCAGACUGAGGAGAAUGGUUUGUUUGAUGGAAGGUUUUGUUUGGAGAAGGAUAUGUUUGGCAGCAACAUGUAUGUGCCUUCUUUAGCAAGCAAAACAGAGCAGCAGGUGCAAAAUGUUCACAGUUUGAAUGGGAAUUUGUCAACAUCGAUAAUAGUAGAUCCUCCCAUUGCAUGGGAUGCAAACAAUUCCCAAGCUGAAUUUUUGGACUCUCCUUUGUUGACAACACCGGAUAAGGAUAUUCUUUGGCCAUAACUUAAGGGAAAAUAGGUCAAAAGAAUAGUAAAUUAAUUACUUCUCUUAACUUUCACUCUUGUGUAAAUAUCUCCUUUGGCCUUGUUAAACUUCAAUUAUGUGUGCUAAAUGGUUCCCAUGGUCUUAGUUUUGGCAAUUAAAGGUGUGGCAAAUUGCUUUAAAUAUCUUGUCAUCUAGUGGUCCAACUUAACAUACAAGGGCUACCACAAGAGCUAGCUCUUCUGAUAAAAAAAAAAUUAAAAAAAUCCAAUCAACCUAAACUCUUCAUAAAUUUUUAAUCGAAUGCAUAUACAUUAGAAGUUAUAGACACCAAUUCGAGAAGGAAAAGCUUAUAGAAGACAACUUUUAUGUGAUUAAAGACUAAACUUUUAAUUGUGUUAAGAGAAAAUUUAAGAAUGAUCAAUUACUCCAUCUUUAAAAAUAUAAUUAUUCUUAUGCCUCCAAAUCACUGAAACAGUUACUUACUGGUUGAUUAUUUUGCAUUUUUAAUAAUAUAGUUGUCAAAACUAAAACUCUAAGAGUCUAUUUCACAAAAGUUUGAGGUUAAAAGAAGAACCGUUGAAAAUGGUUUGUUAUUUAGAAGUAUGUGUGGAGAUGGUAGGUUUUGAAUUUGUGGAUUUUAGAGAAAUAGGGUUGUUUUAAGGAUGAAGAACAAAGGUUAAUGUGUCUAUUAGUGGAGUUUUCUUGGUCAGUGUAAAAAAAACAUGUAAUUAUGCUUAAUUCAAAGUAUGAAUGUGAUGAACUCUUAUUUUUGUGUGUGUUCUUUUAUCAGCAUGCAUGCAUGGGUGUUAUUUAAUUACUCUUUUGCCUAUUUCCAAGGGUAGGAGGAAAUUUAUUUGAAGGGAUGUAAAUUCUUAAUAUCAUAUUUUCUCCACUAAAAAAGUGUGUAGGUUUAUAAAUUUAAAAAAUAUAUAUAUUUUAUUAAAAAUAUACACAUUAUAAUUUUUACAUCAAAUAAAUAUAUUUAAAAUUAAAAUUUAUUUUGUUCAUAUAACUUAUAUUUUUUAUUUUUAUCUAUUAGAUAUAAUUUAAAAUAUUGACGACAAGAACUAUGACAAUAUUUAUCAUUUAAUUUAUUUUUUAAGUUAUGAAUGCUUGGACCUCACAUAAUUUGAUAUGAUUCUAAUUAUUAUAAACAGUGAUGUUUUAAAGUAUUUGCGAUGAUUUUUAUGUCUGCCUUAUAUAUUAUUUUUUUUAUGAUUAUUUACUAUAUAUUAUUUUUUAUAACAGCUUAUGUAAUAUAUAUGUAUUGUAUACAUUAUAAUUAUGUAUAACAUACUGAAUUACUUACUAAAAGCCUAUUUUGUAAUAAAAUAAAUAAAUAAAAACUAUUAUUUUAAUUUUAUAUUUGAGUUAACCUCCUUAAUCAUUAAGAAAGAUAAUAAAUGUAUAACUAUUAAAAAUAAUACAUAUUUGACUUUUUAAAACUAGAUAUGCUUUUUACAUUUUUUAAAAAGUUUUAUCUCAUUUUAAGUGAACUAGUUUAUAUAUAUUGUUUUAAUAUAAACAUUUUACAUAAGUUAUUGUAUAUUUUAUAAUAAUUAAUAAAUUGGUGUAGAUAUUAUCCAUAUAUAAGGUGAGGAUAUUGGUUGAUAAGUAUAUAGAAAUUGAGUUUUUACAUGUAGAACACAAUUUAUGUAGAAUGUGUCACUUUUACAUUAGUUUUACUAUAUGGGUAAAAAAAAAGUGUAAAAAUGGUUAAUAUAUCAAAACCUAAAACACGAGAAACAAGAAUUGAAGAGAAAAAUUGAAGUGCACAUAUGAUAUUAAAAUAGAUUUGAAACAAAGAUAUGUGUAGUGGAAGCUGUCAAAGUUGGAAAAAAGAGUAAUUUCAAUAAUGUGACACUAAUUUUUCACCAUUUUCAUCUCAAUAAGGACGAAAACCAAAUGUUGGAGACUCCACAUCGACUAAAAUUAGAGCAUUUCAUUGUAUAUAAAUGAGUGCAAAUCUCAACCUUAUAAGCUGGUUUUAUGGGGUUGAGUUAAAUUUAAAAUCCACUUUGUAAUACCAAAAAUAAAUAUGUUAUUUCUUCCAUAAUGAACCUUGUUUUUCAUUAAAAGAAUAACAAUUUUCUUGAAACGUUGUUUGUUGUCACGUAACAACAAAGUAAUUACAUCUGACACUCUUUGUAAUAAGCUUGAAGAUCCAUUGCACAAGCUCAUAUAAGGCAAAACUUACUACAAUCACAGUUUUUUCUUAACUCAUAAGAUUCAAAGCAAUUUGCAAGAGGACAAUGAAGUCUUAAGAUUUAAAAAAUGGUGAAUAAAAAAGAAAAACAACAGUUUUUUAUAAAGUGUUGAUUAUGGAUGUUGAAAAUUGUGUCUUUUCAAAGAUACACUAGAUCAAUCUACUUUUUCUUUUACUGUUUGGUUCAUACUUGUUGAAGAAAUUUUCUUCACCAAACAAGCUCAUAAAUAGUAUAUAUUUUGAUCAACUGUAGCCAAAAGUCAUUGUUGUUGAAUGGUCAAAACUGCACCGCAGACUUCGCGUAUAAGAAAUCUUCAUGCUGUUCUGCCAGAGAAGCUAGCCUCAUAGAUUGGUUUCUUUUCCAACAACAUAAUAAUACUUCAUGUCUCUGCCUUCAACCAACUCUCAUGCACAACUACUUCUCACACUGCAAGGGACAAAAAGUUUUACUAGCUUUUUACUCUUACUUCUUUUCAACAUUUCUCCUGUAGCACUGUUUUUCUUCUUCUAUGACUGCUAUUUUCCAAUUCAAUGCAUCAUAUAGUCUAAUUCCUCUAGUCAAACUGUCAGACUGUUAUGGAUAAUUCUCAAUGGAAUAGAAACUAAUUAUCAUGUAAUUGUUGAGUGUUUUGUAAUGUGUUUGUGGAAUUUUGGUUGUGUUAGGAGAUGGUUUGUGUGUAUUGUUUUGACUAAAGACCGGUUAUAAGGAUUCUGAUAGGGUAGAUGAUGAUUUUUGUUGAUUUGACUUUCAAUUGAGGAUUGGUUUGGUAGUUUGCAUGGUCUAAAGUAUGUUUGUGUGUCAAGUGGGCAAGUUGACCUUGGUUAUUUUCUGAAUAAGAAUUGAAACAUCUCUAAAGUAUCUGUAUAAGGGUUGAGACACCCUGAAGUGUCUCAUUUUAUUUUAUUUAUUUUUUGUUGAUAAAAAAAAUCAACUUGUUUUCUGAUAGAAUUAGUAUAGAACUGUUAAAUACAUAAAAAAAUGUGAAUGGUAGUGUGAGAUAUUCAAUAACAACACCAUAUGGAGGCAUAUACCAAAUUUUGUCUGCUAAUACAAAGUGAAUCAGAAGAAUGAAGGAAUAAAAAAAGUUCUCUGUUUACAAAGUUAUGGACUGAAGGGAGGAUAAGUGCAUGUAAAUUUGUGUGAAUCUUCUGAUAUCUCUGCUAAAUUCCUAUGAAUUGAAAAGAUAGAUACCAGAAGGGUUCUUGUAGGAACUAGAGAUUCAAUUAUAGUGUUGGCUAAUGGUAAAAUUGUACUAGAUGUCAUUUCAAUGCUACCAAAGUGAACAGAAUGAAAUUGAUUGAAAGUGAUCUUGAUGUUACAAAAUUUAUAUGAAACCAUUCAACAAGGGUGAGGUCUGUAGUCAUGCUCAAUUAUGGGUGUGGUUCGAGUGCCAUGUGCAGUAGGAGCUCUCACAUGUCCAACCAUUGACACCUGAAGGGCUUCUUCUUCAUAGGCCCUUCUCUCCAUCUCCACCAUCCUUGAUCUCUUCUUCACCCUAACUAGCAUGGCCACAAGAAGAAGGCCUAAGAGAAAAGCUCCCAAAGCAGCACCAAUGGUACUCCCAACAGCCACUUUCCACCUACUUAUAGGCCUGUUCCUGAACUCAUCUGGUGGGGACUCCACAACCAAACCAAAAUGGCCAUGCCUCUUUGCAACACAAACAAGUGGUGUUGAAGGGUUGCCCUUUGCUAGUGUCAUUCUUCCAUCACCUUCAAAGCUAGCACACAAGGGCUUCAUCCCAUCUUCCUUGCUCAACUUUGUGGUGUUUGUGAAGUCAAUUGUCAUUGCUCUUUCUCCAGCCACAAUCCCAAGUUGGAAAGGGUUGCUUGAGUUUGCAUCAUCAUCAGCAUUGUAGGCCAGAAGCCCCACAAUUGGAGACACAAGCUGGUACCCUGAUAGAUCAUAGUUAGCAUAAUAGAUAGAAGACCAAUUGUGGCCCAUGUUUUGUCUGAUCAACAUCACCCUCUCAAUACAUGGAUGAACAGUUACACCAGUACCAAGAUGGAAUUCCUUCAACUCUGCACCAUACCUUCUCAAACUUCCACACCUAAACCUCACAGCAUCAACUCCAAUGCCUGAAAGAUUUGCAGGUAAGUCCACUGACUGUGGUAUUGCUGUCCUCAAGUUCUUGUCCAAUAGUACCUUGAACGUGUGAUCUCUUAUGAUGAGGUCAAGAACAUGAGCUGACUUCACACUCUGACCCUCAGAUCCCGAAAAUGUAAAAGACACCCAGGAAAAUGUCAUCAAAAACAGACCAAAAGCAGAGUCCAUGAGAGAAAAAAUCCUAGAAUAUUGUUCCCAAGGUAACAACAGUCCUUGUUCUGUUGCAAUCCUUGAAAUUGUGGUCAGUUUGGUCACAAUCUUUGCUAUUGCAAUGAAAUUGCAGACAAAUGUGGUGCUGCUAUCACAAUUGUCGUGACCAGAUCCUAAAACCUUGAAAUUAUUUUGAAAAACUCGAUUAUUAUAGCACUAACAAUGUGUCUAGGUGAACCCCUUUUGGCUGGUAUUCUCUAGCUACAACACCAAAAGUAAAAAGCACUGAUAUUUGUUUUUCUCCUAAGGAAAGACCAUGUUUUUUUUUUCCUGUGGAAUGAGUUCCAAAGAAUAAAGAUUGUGGAGUGGUAAUAGAUGAGAAGGAUAAUAAGGGUAGUAGCAGUAGUAGACACCAGAUGAAGGAAAUGGAAAAGGGUAAAGCAGAAAAGUACUUGUUCUUGGAGAUGUUCCCUCAACAGAACUCAGACAUGGUGUUGUUGAAGUGAUGUAAGUGGCACAGUGAAAUUGAAUGAGAAUAAAAAUGUAGAGAUUUAUUGAAGGCAAAGAAGAAUGGGAGAAAAGUGGUGUUGGAGAUCCAUGUAUGAAUGUGGCAUUGAGAAGAAAGAAAAGGGUAAGAAGAAAUGAUUCUUGGGCGUGGAAUGAUGAUGACAGUUCAUGGUGAAAUAAGAAAAAUGGGAAAAGAAAUGAAGGGGUUGGGGAGAGGGGUUUAAGCGUGCUGAGAAAUGAAACUAAAGCAUCGUUGUUGUGCAUGGGGUCCAAUAACACUGAUUGUGUUGGCUGUAACAUGCCAUGUUCCCCACUUGUUGCACUCAAUGCCUCUAAUGUUAGGCUUAGCACACACAUGAACAUCACCUUUCCAAACUCAAAAAUCCAAACCCCUUUUCCAUUUUUAUCUUUAAAUUUCGAAACCAUAUUAAAAAGGCUCAAUCUUUUCAAAACUAGUAUUAAUAGUUAUAAAACUAAGAUUUGUAUCUAAUUAUAUAUAAAGUAUUUUUUAUUCGUAAUUCACGUGAGAUUUUCAAUACAAAAUAUUAUAUGAUUGGAUGAUUAACAAGUUAAUUUAAUCAAACCAUGAUUUGGAGGAGCAAUUCAGCCAUCACUGAUUCCUGCAUUACUGAUACAGACCAUUACUUUUCUCGUCCCAUCAUUACAGACUCAGAACACUUGAUUAGUAUCAACAAGAUCACAUUUAAGAAAAUGAGGUUUUUAAUACUAAUUUAUCUUGGUAAAUACGUCUGGUCAAUAGCUGUUUUUAAGAAAGAUUUAAAUUGAAUAAUGUCCGAAUGAUUUGAUCUGAAUUGAGCUCAUUAAAAUUUAUCUUGUAUAAAAAAUAAUUAAUAUCAUUAAUGAAUAUUUUCUUUUUAAUAUAAUUUUGAUUUAAUAUACAAUUUAUCAUAUGAUUAAGAUGGCUUCAGUUUUGUUGUAAAGUUUUUAAAAUUGUUAAUUAAUAAAAAAAGGAGGAUUACGAGGGCGUAAGCCCCGUUCGGUUAGUCAAGUUGACCAUGUGAAUGACUGUGAAUCGGCCAAAUUCUCAGGUGGGAAUUGCAUAGGCUCCACACGUGUCUCAGCCCCAAAUCCCAACUCUAAGAUACCCAUUACAGGGCCUGCAUUGCUGCAGAGAAGGCCCGGGGACUUUCCUGAGCCCAGCAAUUAGCAUGGGCCCAAUCACAUCGCCUCAUAAUCCAGUGGUAACACUUAGCGUAGUCAGAUGGUAUAUAAAGAUGUUUAAAGUCACACUUUCUAUCGAUGUGGGACAUUUUCAAUGCACUUCUAAAGAGAGAUUAAAUAAUUUAAGCAAUCUUUCGAGUGAUGAUAUUUUGACACCAACUCCACUUUACGUUCACAACAAAAUAUUAAUAUUUAUAAUAACAAAAAUUUAAAAAUAUAAAAAUCUUUUCAAUAAAAAUAUAAAAAAAAUAAAAAAUAUUAAAAUAAUUUUUAAAAUUAAAAAAUUAUAAAUAUUAAAAUAUUAAUAUUUAAUAAGAUGUUGGGUGAAACAUGUGUCAAAUUUUUUCUUCUUCUUUUUAACCUUUAUUCUAAUAUCUACACGAAGUAUCUAGUUGAAUUGUCCACGUCUCAUUUACACACUUUUCUUUUAGUUUUUUUUAUAUACUUCAUGUUAAACAUCACUACUAUUAGAUAAACAAAAAAUAUUUAAAGAAAAAAGAAAAAGUAAGAGGACUAAAGAAAACUUAUAAUACGAAAGAACUUUAGAAUUUGAAGGUGCUGAAGUGCGAUUGCAAAAUCUAUAUUGUAAUUGCAAGAUCUAUAUGGAAUUUAAUUAAUUGCAUGAUGUUCUUGAAGUUGUCCGGUUGUUGCACUACGGAGAUAGAUCUAUAACAUUUUAAAUUUACUAUAAUAUAUACUAUAAUUAUAAAUCUAGUUUUAAUAUAAAUAAAAAUAUUAAUUAUAAGAUAUUUUUCAAAUGAAAAAAAAUUAUUUAAUAUAAAAAAAUAAACUUAAAAUUGAUUUUAGUUUUUGAAGUUUAAAACACAUAUGCAUAAUUUAACCCUCAACUAUUAUGGGUGGAAUUAUAUUUUAGACAUACCAGAAUAAUUCAAAGAUUAAGAAAGAAAGGUGUAUUUAAAAUGUCAUUAAUAUCAACAGCUAAACAAUGUGGGACUAUAUUGAUUAUACCGAAAGACUCCUUUAAUAUGAGAAAUCAUAAACACAUGUAGAUAACUCAAAAUCCCAAAAACCACAAAUAUAUUUUUCAGCAGAAGUAAUAAAGUGGAAAACCAAUUACCAUGAAGAGAGAAGACAUUAAUAUCUUAAGAGGUAACACAAUGUAGAAGAGAGGGGAGGAUCCUUAGUUAUAAGGAGAGAGUGAGAAAUUUCUUCUCUUUUAGUAGGUUUGGUAAGUUUAAAUAGAAACAAAUUUUAAAGAACAAAAAUAACUAAUUACUAUAUUCACUAAAUUAAAUGUUAUUUUAAAGACUAGAACAAAUUAUUGGUAUCUAAAUUAUUUUUUAUUAUUGAUAAAUAGUUUUUAAAUUUGUAUCUAAUUAGCUACCAAAGUUUUAGAUAUCAACUUUUGAAUCAAAAUAACUGGUAGCUAAAACCUAUAUAGCUAAUUGGAUAUUAAUUUAAAAAUUAUUUAUCAAUAAUAAAAAUUAAUUUAGAUACCAAUAAUUUUUUUAGUCUUUAAAAUAAUAUCUAACUUAGUCAAUAUAACAACUAAUUAUUUUUAUCAUUUAAAAUUAAUGUUUUUAUUAAUAAUUUUUUAGUAAUGAUAAGUUUUUCUUUUAUAUAAAAGCUUGUUAGACAUCAUUAUGCAAUUUGACAUCUUAGUUAAACUCACCUCAAGUAAUAACAAUCAUCUGCCAUCACAUGAAAAAAAAAUAUAUUAUUAUUACAAAAAAGAAAAUACAAAAGUAUGAAGUAAUGAUAAAUUAACUAAUAACUUUUCUAACUAAUUUGACCUUGAUUAUUUCAUUUAUGCUUGAAAAUAUUUUUCACUUGAAAAAUGUGACCUCGUCAAGUCUUGGAUUAUCUAUAGAAAAAGACAUAUAUUUUGACAUUUUAAUUAAUCUUUUAAUUCCUUGAUUAAGUAAUUUAUAUAUUUUAAUUAAAUUAUUUUAUUAAUAUAAGCAUGAGAAGGUUUAAUAAGUUCCUAAAUACUAAUUAUGGUUUAAUAUUUAUUUAUAUGUGAAGGUUUAGAUUCUUAAAUUGUUUAUUUCUAUUCUUUCAACAAGUUAACCUAAAUAUACAAAUAAAACCCACUUGUGUAAAAUUUACAUUAAAUAGAAUUUAAAUUUCUAUAAAAAAAAAUUACCAAUCUAAUUUAUUUAUAAAGAAUAGUAUAAAAUAAGUUUUUCCAUGAAAUUAUAAAUUCUCAAGACAUAUAUAUUUUAUAAAAAAAGGAGGAUUACGAGGACGUAAGCCCCGUUCAGUUAGUCAAAGCUGACCAUGUGAAUGACUGUAAGAUCGGCCAAAUUCUCAGGUUGGAAUUGCAUAGGCUCCACACGUGUCUCAGCCGCAAAUCCCAACUCAAAGAUACCCAUUACAGGGCCUGCAUUUCUGCAGAGGAGGCCCGGGGACUUUCCUGAGCCCAGCAAUUAGCAUGGGCCCAAUCACAUCGCCUCAUAAUCCAGUGGU